This 491-nucleotide ribosomal RNA is filed under the name uncultured bacterium. RNAcentral describes it as "bacterial SSU rRNA". It matches the Rfam family "Bacterial small subunit ribosomal RNA", at positions 8 to 518 of the family's 1533-position model. The record is from RNAcentral.
AGAGUUUGAUCCUGGCUUAGGACGAACGCUGGCGGCAUGCCUAACACAUGCAAGUCGAACGGGGGUAGCAAUACCCUAGUGGCGAACGGGUGAGUAACACAUAAGCAAUCUGCCCUUCACAGGGGGAUAACAGCGGGAAACUGCUGCUAAUACCGCAUAAGACCACGGUACCGCAUGGUACAGGGGUAAAAACGAAUCAGUGGUGAAGGAUGAGCUUAUGUCCCAUUAGCUAGUUGGUGAGAUAACAGCCCACCAAGGCGACGAUGGGUAGCCGACCUGAGAGGGUGAUCGGCCACACUGGAACUGAGACACGGUCCAGACUCCUACGGGAGGCAGCAGUGGGGAAUAUUGGGCAAUGGAGGAAAAACCUCUUACCCAGCAAUGCCGCGUGAGUGAAGAAGGUCUUCGGAUUGUAAAGCUCUUUGAUUGGGGACGAAGAAAGUGACGGUACCCAAAGAACAAGCCCCGGCUAACUACGUGCCAGCCGCUGC